UAGAGUGUAGCUCAGUGGUAGAGUGUGUGCUUAGCAUGCAUAAGGCCCUUGGGUUUGCUCCCCAGCAUCAUAC
Molecule: transfer RNA, 73 nt
Filed under: Marmota marmota marmota (Alpine marmot)
Lineage: Eukaryota; Metazoa; Chordata; Mammalia; Rodentia; Sciuridae
Also listed under: 2 other names
Rfam family: tRNA
About the family: Transfer RNA (tRNA) molecules are approximately 80 nucleotides in length. Their secondary structure includes four short double-helical elements and three loops (D, anti-codon, and T loops). Further hydrogen bonds mediate the characteristic L-shaped molecular structure. tRNAs have two regions of fundamental functional importance: the anti-codon, which is responsible for specific mRNA codon recognition, and the 3' end, to which the tRNAs corresponding amino acid is attached (by aminoacyl-tRNA synthetases). tRNAs cope with the degeneracy of the genetic code in two manners: having more than one tRNA (with a specific anti-codon) for a particular amino acid; and 'wobble' base-pairing, i.e. permitting non-standard base-pairing at the 3rd anti-codon position.
Source: Rfam by way of RNAcentral